AGAGUUUGAUCCUGGCUCAGAACGAACGCUGGCGGCGUGGUUAAGACAUGCAAGUCGUACGAACAAACCAAUUGAGUAAUCAAGAGGUGAGUUAGUGGCGAAAGGGUGAGUAAUGCGUAGGUAACGUACCCCGGACUUUGGGAUAGCAGCGGUCUUCGGACCUUUAGCGAAAGUGCUGGUAAUACCGAAUGAUAUCAUGAUGUCGUAUGGCAUUUUGAUCAAAGGUUUCGGCUGGUCUGGGAGCGGCCUACGUCGUAUCAGCUUGUUGGUGAGGUAACGGCUCACCAAGGCAGCGACGCGUAGCGGGACUGAGAGGUUGGCCCGCCACAUCGGGACUGAGACACUGCCCGGACCCCCACGGGGGGCUGCAGUAACGAAUAUUGCGCAAUGGACGAAAGUCUGACGCAGCGACGCCGCGUGUAGGAUGAAGUCCUUCGGGAUGUAAACUACUGACAGGGUGAAGAAAGGCUUCGGCUUGAUCGAUCCCAGAGGAAGCCACGGCUAACUUCGUGCCAGCAGCCGCGGUAAUACGAAGGUGGCAAGCGUUGUUCGGAAUCACUGGGCUUAAAGAGCACGUAGGCGGAAGGUUAAGUGUUUUGUGAAAUCCCUCGGCUUAACCGAGGAACUGCUUGACAUACUGGCCUUCUUGAGGCAGGCAGGGGCGCGUGGAACUCUAGGUGGAGCGGUGAAAUGCGUAGAUAUCUAGAGGAACGCCAGUGGUGAAGACGGCGCGCUGGACCUGAUCUGACGCUGAGGUGCGAAAGCGUGGGGAGCAAAAAGGAUUAGAUACCCUUGUAGUCCACGCUGUAAACGAUGUCUACUAGGUCGUGGGAGUUCUGACGCUUUCACGGCCGGAGCAAAAGUAUUAAGUAGACCGCCUGGGGAGUACGGUCGCAAGGCUAAAACUCAAAGGAAUUGACGGGGGCUCACACAAGCGGUGGAGCAUGUGGCUUAAUUCGAAGCAACGCGAAGAACCUUAUCCUGGGUUUGACAUGUUUGGAUGCUCUUGGUGAAAGCCAAGUAGGCUGCCUUCGGGUGAAACUUACACAGGUGCUGCAUGGCUGUCGUCAGCUCGUGUCGUGAGAUGUUGGGUUAAGUCCCUUAACGAGCGAAACCCCUAUCGUUAGUUACCAGCGCGUAAUGGCGGGGACUCUAGCGAGACUGCCGGUGUCAAACCGGAGGAAGGUGGGGAUGACGUCAAGUCCUCAUGGCCUUUAUGCCCAGGGCUGCACACGUGCUACAAUGGCGACUACAAAGCGACGCGAUACCGUGAGGUGGAGCAAAUCGCAAAAAAGUCGCCCCAGUUCGGAUUGUAGGCUGCAACUCGCCUACAUGAAGUCGGAAUCGCUAGUAAUCGCGGAUCAGCAAUGCCGCGGUGACUAUGUUCCUGAGCCUUGUACACACCGCCCGUCAAGUCACGGAAGCUGGGAGUACUUGAAGUCGGGUAGCUAACCUUCGGGAGGCGCCUGCCGAUGGUAAGCCCGGUAACUGGGGCUAAGUCGUAACAAGGUA
This 1512-nucleotide ribosomal RNA is filed under the name metagenome. Its description in RNAcentral is "bacterial SSU rRNA". It matches the Rfam family "Bacterial small subunit ribosomal RNA". The record is from RNAcentral.